GGGAAGGUUAUGUAUGAGAUGACUGAGCUUUUAAAUUGUCUCAUCUAUAUUUCCAAGAGAAAAUUAUAUCAAUACUUCUGACCAUGAGCAUUCUGUAGGAAAUAUUGAAAUUGACCUGAAUCAUGCAGAUAUUACUUCCUUGGUUGUAAGUAGAAAUACUGAGUGUGGGAAGUAGAUAAAACACCAGGGCUAUAAAAGGUUUACUGUGGGAUUUUAAGAGAAGUAAAAAAACCAAUUAUGCAAGCCUCUUUCUUUCAUUUGUAGUAGGUGAAUAGAUGUCUGUGGAUUGGAGUGUUGUUUAUGUAACUCAAACUUUUAAAGGGGGAUGAUAAGAGUCAUCCUGGAAAUCAUAGGCUAGUUAGUUUUUACUUCUGUUGUGUGAAAAAUUUUAGCAUUAUAAAAGGAUACUUACAAAAUAAUUUAGUGAAAUAUGAUGUUAUAAAUGAUAAUCAACAUAGGUGCACCAAAGGGAUUUUUUUUUCUUACUAACCACUCCUUUUUUUUUGAGGAUUAGGUAUCUGAACAAAGGAGAGAGUGUGGACUUGAUGUAUUUAGUUUUCAGAAAAAAAUUUUUUGUUAAGGGCCUGAAACUUACAGUAAAGAAAGUAUAUGUGAAAAGAAACACUUUAUCUCCCCCAUCUCUGCAUCAUCCAAGUUUUCUGUGUUUCAGGUGCCAGAAAAUCAAGAUAAAUGUAGUAAAUUUUUAGAAGAAAAAAUAUGUAAAUUUGAACCAGUGCUCUGAAGCUUCUGAUUUGGAAAGAAUGGAACAUGGAGUUUCUGAUUGGUGUGGAUAUCUCAAGAAAUGUAUUUUGAGUCAAAUGCAUCUUACCACUGCAUAAAAGAGAGGAUUAUACUUGACUUUUACCACAAUCCCAGAAGUUCGUAUCUAGAUUGUUAGAGAAAUACAGAGAGAAAAGACUUAGACAGAAAGCAAAUCAAGAAUGGCACAAAGUGCUUGAAAGAAGCUGGAUAAAAAGAAUAGAAAAAGAGUGCCAGAAAAGAACUGAAGAAUAGCAUACUCUUCUUAGUACACAGUAUAAACAUAAUGUUGUUAAGCUACAAGACCUUUUAGCUGCUCACCAAGCCAUUAUUGCUCUGACGAAAGAGAAAACAGACUGCAUGAAUAGCAUGAAAAUAGCAUUUAUGAGGAGGGCCUGUGCAUUGAUUGUAGAAACCGUGGGUGUGUUCUGUGGAUCUAGAGGUCAACGACUAGGAGUAGAUGAGUCUAAUGUUACUUCUAGUCUUUCGUCUGGUGGACAUUCAGCAAAAACGUCAUAAUUCCUGGUUAGCUAGUGAUAAGUUUUCACAAUAAAACAAUUUUACCUCAACAGCCAAAUUCUCAUAUCAGCUCUUCGUUCAACAAAGAUGCGGUUGCCCCAAAUGGAAAUUUUGAUACCUGUUACAUGACUGCUGAGGAUAUGUAUACCUUAGAGAAAGCCGCUAUCAUAGAAAGACAAUAAUCCCCACGGUCGUUGUUCACGUGUAAUAUCAUAUUAUUGUGAUGGUCGUAGACGACAAUCGACCAGGCUGAACGCCAUUCCAUCUCUGACUUACAGUGGAUCUAAUGAAAGUUUCUAGCUGACAGAGUAACCAACGAGGUAGAAAAGAAAAAUGUAGAACGCCCGUAACUAUCACGAGUUCGCUUUGUUACUUAGAAUUUAUUCUCAGUUUAGUAAGCGUUUAUUGUCUUACUGGUGCAGAUUAGAAAACAUUGUAUAUGUAGACGUUACAAGGAUCGUGAGAUCAACCUUGUUUUGAAUUACACGUAUCUAUUUCGUGAGGCCACACAGUCCACGUGUGCACAAAAAGUGUGUGGUUGACUUUUAGACCUUAAUAGUGGCUCGAUGAAACCAGUUCCACGUUUUGCAAAAUGUGUAGCAGCAGCUGAACACUGGUGUUUCCUCUCGUGAAAUGACUAAUGAUUCUUUUUGUGUGUGUGAAACAAUUUAAUGUCGAUCAGCAUUCCCUUGCACUAAAAGUUACUCGAAAAGGGAAAUGUUACAGAUAUAUUUAGUGUUAUUAUUAUGUUAUUGGUACGAUUACAACACAUAAGAUUAGCAUAUUGUUCUAUUAUUAAAAAGGCGUGUCAAUAACUAGACAUUUUACUUACUUCUGGUAUACUUUUUUUCGUAUAUGCCAUGUGGUGCUACAAGUAUAAGAAUGGCAAAAAAUAAGCUAUACAUAUUUACUAUAUAAUCUUCUUUAAGUGAACAAGUGGAAUAUUUAUAUUUUGUUUUGUUGUUUAACUGAGUGGAACAUACAGAUGCAUAAAAACAUUUUUUAUUAUCAAUCUACUUUUUUAGAUCUAUCUACAACUAUUUAUGGUAGCUCUUCGAGGAAUAAUCUUGCCUGUAAGGCAGUACGAGCUCACGCAGAGAACACGAGGAAAUAGUUCACCUACUUUUGGUUCCAGUUCGAUCAAUUAACUUCGGUUGGUUUCUUUCCAAGUUAUUUCUAGAAUGGUGAAGCAAAACAAAAACAUCAUUUUUCUACGGAAAAGCGUUAUUCGGUUCUUCUUUUUAUGAUAAUUACUCAUCAGCCUUUUAUAUCUUGUUAUUAAUAUUAUCCAGUCGUAAACAUUUUAAGAAUAUACCAGAAAUUCUUUCUCUUCAGUAUCUCAAAAUAAAAAUAAAUUCGAAUGCACCAAUUGUGCUGUAAAUUUCAUUGUCUGGAAGAAGCUUGUGAUACGUUAAAGAUUGAACUGCAAUUCCAGAAGCAACUUUUUGUGUAAUCUGAAGCUGGUUCAGUGUUUCCUUCUAGUUACGUCGAAAAGCAACUUUUUCUGUAAUCGUAAAUUAGUUCAGUAUUUUCUUCUAGUUACGUCACUGAUCGUUUUCGAGAAGCACGUUCUGGUUAUUUUUUUAUUUAAUAUACUAAACUAUUCAUAAUUUCGUGUAUAGAGUAACUGCUUUUAUUUCUCAUACAUGCCUUAAAGAUUUCGAAUAUAGUUUUUAUUAACACACCUGCUUAAGAACUAACACAAAAGCCUUAUUGUCCAAAAUCAUGGAGAGAACAACACGUUGUUAAGAUAACUCGAGAUCCGCAUUUCAGUGCCUCUUCUCUUGAAAUCGUAUACUGGUAAAAACCACUAAUCGCUUGAAUAUUUACUGUUAACAACAUCUAAUCAUUGGUUGAACAUGUACUAGUAAUAAAAGCUAUCUCUAUAAACACUUACUAUAAGCAUGUACCUGUCACCAACCCAACUUCUACAGGGAAUUAUAUCUGUACAGGUGUAACAUGACGUAAGGUAAUAAAAGAGAAAUGUCUAAAAGAAACGCACAGUUAGUGGAAACGUUUCUGUAACUGAAAGACAUGGCUUUAUUAUUUUCUUCAGUGUCAAUCGUAUUAUUAAUCAAAUAAUCAUCUUUUUGUUUCAAAUAUAAACAAACAUAAGUCGUUUUAAUCGUGUAUAUAUAAUACAGAUUGGUCAGAUUUAAAGCUCCUGUUAUGAACGUAAAUAUUAGGGCUUACACUUAUUAAUGGACUUGUAACAUAUUUUAUUGUUGUUUCUCACUCAGCUAGAUAUUAUAUUAUACACUGAUUAGGGGCGAAGCCGCAAAACUGCUACACAAGAUAUAGCUGCAUACAUUUUUUAAUGUUUUCUUGAGUAAUUUAUUGUGAGAAAAACUAACAAUACAUGAUAUAGCUGUUGUGGAUUUGCGUAGUUUCGACGUAAGCAUAAAUUCAGCUAAAGCUGUUUGGUUCAAGUCCCCAUGCGCAAUAAUCUAGCUCGUUAUCCUUAUAUAUAUAAUUUUUAGACUUGUUAUCGGCAACCUACAACGCUGCCCACUGUACGAGAAAAUUUUGGCGCCAUGCGUCUCGUGCCUGUAGGUUUAAAGUGGUUUUUAAUCUGGUGUUAGUUAAAUGGUGAUUUAAACAUAAGUCUAUAAACUUUUAUAAUAUUUAAUAGUUGAAAUUUAAAUAUGUGGUCAAAGGAAAAUGUAAUACAAGCAUUUAGCAGAUUUGUCUUUCCUCUCCUCUCAUAUUUUCCACCUCAUAGUGGCCCAGCAGUGAGUCUGAAGGCUUAUAAAUCUAAAGACCGGGUUUCGAUACACGUGUUGGCGCAGCACAGAUAGCCCAUUUUAAAUAAAGUCUGUCAAAUAGUGUUAACUUUUUCGUACAUAGUCGUCUAAACAGAUAAUUAUCCUUCGCAAUCUGAUGUUUAAUGUUCUCACGUAUUCCAUUUUGAAUAUUUUUAUAUUUUAAUUUCAUUAACCUUUUAUUCUCGUCGUAGGUAUGCUUAGAUCUUUGUUAACUUUUUCAGCAACUGCCAUACGAACCUGGCCAGGUGGUUAGGGCACUCGACUCGCAAUCUGCCGCGGAGGCGUUAUUAUUUUACGGUCAAUCCCACUAUUCGUUGGUAAAAGAGUAGCCCA
Limulus polyphemus (Atlantic horseshoe crab) is the source of this 4376-nucleotide long non-coding RNA. RefSeq lists it as uncharacterized. Lineage: Eukaryota; Metazoa; Arthropoda; Merostomata; Xiphosura; Limulidae. The record is from RefSeq and is a predicted model, not a curated record. The transcript has 7 exons.